UGGGAUGUCCUUAAAAUAAACUAUUAUCUGAAUUUACAUGUUAAACACGUGCUCAAUUUCCAUGCUUUUUUGUUUAUUUUUCGUCAAUUGUUGACAAACAGGUGACAAUCGUUAAACUUCGGCUUCAAGACACGAACUUUAAUUACCUGCCAUAUUUUCACAACAACACUGACCGAUUGAAAAAAAAAUUGACAAUUAUACGAAAUUUACACGAAAAAAAUGAUAAAUUCGAGCACAGAAGACUAAGUUUAUGAUGUUUGUAUGCAUUGGUUU
RNAcentral lists this long non-coding RNA (273 nucleotides) under Mytilus galloprovincialis (Mediterranean mussel). The record is from RNAcentral. Lineage: Eukaryota; Metazoa; Mollusca; Bivalvia; Mytilida; Mytilidae.